UGACGCUUCUCUCUCUGGUUCCGCUGCUGCUCUUCUCUCUCUUUCAUGUUGAGUUUCUUGGUUCAAACAUGGCCCUCCCACCGACAAUUCGAGUUAGAAUCAAAUAUGGGUCCAUUCCAUGAAAUCAAUACUAGCGCUCAAUCUUCUAUUGGUAAUUUUUAUAAUCAAUUUUCUAACUUUAUUAGCAAAUUACAUCUUGGAAUUGAAUUUGAGAAUUGAGAAAUUAAUGAGUUAUGUGCUGUUAUGGAUUGUGGUGUGUAAAACAAGGAUUGGACCUUGCUCCCUCUAAUAAAUGAAAUCAUGAAAUUAGAAGCUGGGUUCGAUGAAGUUGAUUGGCUUUGGAUUCCCAGACAUCUGAAUCAUUGUACUCAUGUAGCGGCAGGGAUUGAUUUGAGGACGGUGGAGCUGCAAAAGCUGAGCUGGGUUGGCGAACAUGUUGCUGGGCUUGUGUUUUUUACUUUAGCUUGAUUCCUUCCUGGUGUUUAUUUUUUCUGUUUUUUCUUUUCCUUCUACACUCGUUGGUUGUUUUGCUCCCACCGCAAUUUUUAGGCUUUCUUGAUUACAACCAAAAAUAAAAGGCGAUAUUUAGAGAUGCGAUGAAAUGCAAAGAUGGAG
Molecule: long non-coding RNA, 615 nt
Filed under: Prunus dulcis (almond)
Lineage: Eukaryota; Viridiplantae; Streptophyta; Magnoliopsida; Rosales; Rosaceae
Description: sRNA ncRNA
Source: RNAcentral